AUACCAGUGAACUGUAAAAUAGAAUGUGCAUAUCAAAAGUAUAACAUUGCUCUAUUGUUUAUAUUUUCAGACUUUGACAAAUAUUAUAAUUCAGAGUGUGAUAUUAUUAAUAAAACCUUAGAAUACACUCACUCACAUGCGUUGGAAGAUACCACUUAUUGUAAUAGGGAAGUCAGUCUGUUGUAUGUUAUACUGAUGUUUGGCACUUUAUGGGUCGGUAUCAUGUUGUACAAUUCAACUAAGAGUCCUUUAUUAGAUGCCAGCAAAAGAGAGAUGUUAACUGACUAUGCUUUGCCUGUUUCUGUUUUGUUCAUGUCAUUCAUCGGUUCGUAUGUCUUCCGAGAUAUUAAAGUGGAAGCAUUGCCUUACCAUGACAGCCAGCUAUUU
Anneissia japonica is the source of this 387-nucleotide long non-coding RNA. RefSeq lists it as uncharacterized. The transcript is spliced from 3 exons. NCBI's taxonomy places the organism in Eukaryota, Metazoa, Echinodermata, Crinoidea, Comatulida, Comatulidae. The record is from RefSeq and is a predicted model, not a curated record.